UACGAAGGGGGCUAGCGUUGUUCGGAAUCACUGGGCGUAAAGGGCGCGUAGGCGGCUUUAUAAGUCGGGGGUGAAAGCCUGUGGCUCAACCACAGAAUUGCCUUCGAUACUGUAUGGCUUGAGACCGGAAGAGGUAAGUGGAACUGCGAGUGUAGAGGUGAAAUUCGUAGAUAUUCGGAAGAACACCAGUGGCGAAGGCGGCUUACUGGUCCGGUUCUGACGCUGAGGCGCGAAAGCGUGGGGAGCAAACAGG
Molecule: ribosomal RNA, 253 nt
Filed under: uncultured bacterium
Lineage: Bacteria
Description: partial 16S ribosomal RNA
Rfam family: Bacterial small subunit ribosomal RNA
Source: RNAcentral